This 484-nucleotide ribosomal RNA is filed under the name uncultured bacterium. RNAcentral describes it as "partial 16S ribosomal RNA". It matches the Rfam family "Bacterial small subunit ribosomal RNA", at positions 29 to 507 of the family's 1533-position model. The record is from RNAcentral.
AUUGAACGCUGGCGGCAUGCUUUACACAUGCAAGUCGAACGGCAGCGCGGGCUUCGGCCUGGCGGCGAGUGGCGCACGGGUGAGUAAUACAUCGGAACGUGCCCAGUAGUGGGGGAUAGCUCGGCGAAAGCCGGAUUAAUACCGCAUACGACCUGAGGGUGAAAGCGGGGGAUCUUCGGACCUCGCGCUAUUGGAGCGGCCGAUGGCAGAUUAGCUAGUUGGUGGGGUAAAGGCCUACCAAGGCGACGAUCUGUAGCUGGUCUGAGAGGACGACCAGCCACACUGGGACUGAGACACGGCCCAGACUCCUACGGGAGGCAGCAGUGGGGAAUUUUUGACAAUGGGCGAAAGCCUGAUCCAGCAAUGCCGCGUGUGUGAUGAAGGCCUUCGGGUUGUAAAGCACUUUUGGCGGGAACGAAAAGGACUGUGCCAAUACCACGGUUCGAUGACGGUACCCGCAGAAUAAGCACCGGCUAACUACGUG